GGCGUGAUUCCCAGGGUUCCAAGCACUAAAAGCAUUUAUCUGGAUGUUAAACUCAUUUGCUCCAAUAGAAAUCACUGCCAGGAGACAGAUGGAGGACAGACUUUUGUUAUGGAGUGGUGGCAUAAUAUACGGUUUGGAAAUAUGCAUGGGCAACAUUUCAUCCACACGCUGACCUCCCUCCAGUCUCGUACAAGGAUCUAGUUCUCAUGGAUGUUUCCGGGCUAUACCACUUCAGAAUGGGGGAGCUGACGGCCACUGCCCCUCAGUAAGAUAACAAAAUGCUUCUCUCAGUGCCACUGCAACAGAUCCUUCUGUAAAGAAAAUUGGCGUUUCAAGCAGACGGCUAGGUCUGAAUCUUUCUCCCUGACACACAGACACAGAGAGCCUGAACGGACAUGUUCCAGCUGUCUGUCCCCUCCUUUUGCCUCAUGCCUAGAAACAGGUCCCCGGUUUUUGAUCUGGAGUAAGGCAUUCACACGCGCACAUCACUGCUUCACUGCUGCCCUGACAAACGUACAUGUGUGAGCCCGCCCUAAACUAAGGGGAGUUUUUUUUCCCCAGAGACUGACCUGGACAAGCUAGCAGCACUUUAAUACCCAUAGCGGCUACCAAAUGGAGACACGCUCCACACACACAGUUCCCCGCCGGAUGAUGCACAUGACCAGUUUCUCCCCCCAGUCCCCUCCGCUUGUAAGCAAAGUCCCCCCCCCGUCGAUCAAGGUUGGCCCGUCUGAAAUCAAUCCUGAUUCUAUUGCUGCUUUUAAAAAAAGGGAAAAAAGAAAUCAUUUUCAACCCCUCAAGGCGUGAGCGGCUGUGGGUUCGAGACUGACUUCUGCUCUUUAAAAAAACAAAAAACCGCUGAGGAUUCUCUGGAUUCCAUCCUUGUCUUCCAAGGCGGGUCCUUGUUCAGGUGCGGCGUUUCUUCGAGGGCGCACUACUGAUUUUCUUCCACCUCCCUCCUCCUUUCCCUCCAAGGCGACUGCAGCUCAGUCUGUGCAGCUCAGAGAAAAGCGGGGAGGGGGAGAGGAGGAAGGAUUUGGAAAGGGGGAGGAGUGGAAGCGGAGGAGCACUCUUCUUCUUCAGCGAGGCUUCCACGUCCACCGAGCUGCCCGUUUUAUUUUCCUUGGGUGGGUAGGUAGAAUGCCUCUUUAAUGACACAAUUAAUUAGCAGGGUUCCAUAAACUCGGCCCGCCUGCGCGGUCUCUCUCUCUCUCUGUCUGUCUCUGUCUCUCUCUCACACGCACCCAUACACGCACCCAUACACGCACCCCUGCUCUGUUUCUAGCGAACUUGAGGGGAAAAGGAAGGGGCAGCUCACUGGAUCCACGCCCGCAGGUCAAUUGCGCGAGGAGGAGGAGGAGGAGCAGGAGGGAGAGAACCGGAAGGCCACACAGUUUGCAGGCCAAGCACUCUUCGGUGUUGAUGAGGGGAUCACACGAGCAGUUCCUAUCGCUUCGCUGACUAACAGCUGACGGCCUCACGCGAUUCCUUUUGAAAUGUUCUCUAGCGGCGGUGGUUGUUUUCGGUAAAGUGUCGGCGGCUGAGUAGAUGUGUAAAUACCGGGGAGUGGGAGGUUGGAUUUCGCGUGUAUUUGAGGGGAUGGGAUGGGAAAAGAAAGGAUGAGAUCCGCGGUGUUGGAUCUGAGCAGGCACAUUCACACGUGCGAAUCAGCGCUGGCUGUUUGUUGGGUUCGGCAAUCGUCCUGUGAUGAAUCCGGAUGUCUGAACCAGACCCUACAAAGGCCGGAGUGUAUAUGAUGCGGGGAAAUGACAUUUUAAAAUGAUAUUAUUUAACAGAGGCCGAGAUUCUUUGCGU
This is a long non-coding RNA of Rhineura floridana, 1815 nucleotides long. RefSeq lists it as uncharacterized. The transcript is spliced from 3 exons. NCBI's taxonomy places the organism in Eukaryota, Metazoa, Chordata, Lepidosauria, Squamata, Rhineuridae. The record is from RefSeq and is a predicted model, not a curated record.